This 62-nucleotide transfer RNA is filed under the name Anaspidinae sp. GENSP01. Its description in RNAcentral is "tRNA-Pro". The record is from RNAcentral. Lineage: Eukaryota; Metazoa; Arthropoda; Insecta; Coleoptera; Scraptiidae.
AGAAAAGUAGUUUAUAAAAAACAUUAAUUUUGGAGAUUAAAGAAGAUAGUUUAUUUUUUCUG